AUUCUUUUAUAAUAUUUUUAAUAGCACAUUAACGUGAUGUUCUAUUAUUUGAGAAGAAAGUGCCAAAUCCUAAACAAUCAAUAAACAGCUUGUAAGAGCUUCUUCAAUCAGUGUAUUCAAGCUUUCUAUAAGAAAUAUUAUGAAGAUGACUUACCAAAUUUAAUCCAUUGUGAAUUUUUUUGUGAUAUUACUGUCGAUGACAACGGUACUUACAAAAUUGCAAUAGGGUGAUUGUAAGAAUAUCUUGAUUCCUAUUCAUAACUUUCUGACUUCUUACUGCUUCUCCAAGAAGUCUCAUAUGGUGUACAAGGUCAAUUAAUCUACAUGAGUAAUCUUUGACAAACCCAUCCUCCUUCAUUUUCAUAAAUUUAAACUCCUAGUUCAAAGUAAAAAGUUUAAUUGUCUUUAACUCUUUUACUUUCAUUUUCAUAAGUUCAAACUUCUUUGAGUUUGUUCCAGACUUGUUUUGGUGACUCCAAAUCUGUUGUAAUAAUAUGGUCAACCAAAUUCACAUGAAUACAAGUGAUGUCUUUGUCUUCUUUAACUUUUCAUCUUCAUAUGUCUUGAUUUAUACAAUGGUGGGAUUUGCUCUAUAGGGAGGUGGAUUGCUGUCUAAUAACACCACUUGCUGAAGGCUUUGAAAUCUAAGAUGAUAUCUCACAUUGACUGCCCAAAUAUGAUAGUUUUCACCAUUGAACAUAGGAAUAGAAGAAGAUGAACUGUUGUUGGAAGUCAUACAGAUAGUUUUCUCACUUUCUCCGAGUAUCUUAGUUUCAAUCUCUUCUCCAAAAAGUUUCUAAAUCUAUCUUACAGUCUCAUAAGAUAUAAGGUAAAAAUAUGUAUUUAUAUCUCAUUUAAAUUUAAUUGAUAUAUUUUAUAUAAAUAAUAUGGUAAAAAUAUAUAUUUAUACUUCACUAAAUUUAAUUGUCAAAUUUCAGAUAAUAUUAGCUAAAAAGAGAAUUAUUGAGCAAAAUAUUCAAAAGAAAAUGAGUGUAAUAGGACGUGUUUGUUGUCAAAAUUCAAGAUCAAGAUAUAUGGGCUGGAUAUUUUCACAGUACUUAGCUCGAAAAUUACAUGUCAUU
This 1082-nucleotide long non-coding RNA is filed under the name Ricinus communis (castor bean). RNAcentral describes it as "long non-coding RNA (RCOM_LNC003625)". Lineage: Eukaryota; Viridiplantae; Streptophyta; Magnoliopsida; Malpighiales; Euphorbiaceae. The record is from RNAcentral.